GGCACUUUCGGAUCACCCAAACGGGGAAUUCGUAUCACCGAAAACGAAAAAGGAAUUCAGGGUGGAAGCCUACCCGAGUUUCAUUCCCUUCAUAGAUAGAAAAAAAUUAACUUCGCAUCCAUAUGUAAGUUUUCGUUUGCUAAAUUUGUUAGUACGCUUAUUUACUUAUAUGCCAAAUAAAAUAACACACUGUUGAAAUGUGGCAAUCCUUUAGAUUUUUGCUCCUGUUUGCCACUCGGGGCAUUGGUGGUUAUGGCUCAUAAAUACAAGAAAGUGGAAAUGUCAUAUACUUGACCCGCUACACAAAAGAGCUCCAAGCGAUGAGAGAAAGGACAUUAAUAAAUUCACUGGAUAUGUAUUUUCAAGAUUGAUAACAUAUGUCGGCGGGGAACCUCUGCAGAAAGGGGAGAACGAGAAGAAAAUUAAAUCAUCAUAUGUUAAAAUAUCAGGCCAAAAAACAAGGUAUAAAUUUGUGAGUCUGAACAUUAAACUUUCGUAAAUGAGAUUUGUAAUUUAUUUUCUUCGUUUUCAGCUAUGACUGCGCUAUCUAUGUUAUGAAGUGGAUGGAGUUAAUUGAGUCGGAAAACAUCAAAAAGGGAAAGUAUGAAUGGGAUAAUUGGCCACAGGAGGAGGUGGACCACUAUAGAGUGGAGUAUGCUUCCCGGAUACUAUUCAGUGAGAUGAAUAGA
Arachis ipaensis is the source of this 689-nucleotide non-coding RNA. The record is from RefSeq and is a predicted model, not a curated record. NCBI's taxonomy places the organism in Eukaryota, Viridiplantae, Streptophyta, Magnoliopsida, Fabales, Fabaceae.